This is a long non-coding RNA of Ahaetulla prasina, 859 nucleotides long. RefSeq lists it as uncharacterized. The record is from RefSeq and is a predicted model, not a curated record. Lineage: Eukaryota; Metazoa; Chordata; Lepidosauria; Squamata; Colubridae. The transcript is spliced from 3 exons.
CUGAAAUGUUAGGGCUGUUAGUCAGUUAUGCGAAAUACAGUACACGUGUACAUGGAUACAAAGGCAAGUAAAGUUUGGAAGAAUGUGUCUGCCCGAUUACUACUCAUUACUUAACUCUGUUUAGUACAACUGCAUACCGUAUAUUUAACUCAAAGAGUAUGGAAAAACCUGCAUUGAACACUCUUGGCUCAAACGCAACAAAGACAGAAAAAUAAAUGCAACUAACAGCUCCCUUGCGACUAAGGCUCGCUCUUUCUUUCUUUCUUUCUUUCUUUCUUUCUUUCUUUCUUUCUUUCUUUCUUUUUCUCUUCCUUCCUUCCUCUCUUUCCUUCCAGACGUAUUUCUGAAGCCAAUUCCCUCACCCCAAAUAUGUACAUGUAUUAUGUACAAUAUGUACAUAACCAGGAGGAAGUUCGUUUUCACUUCACUGACACCCUUGAACCACCUUUCCGGGGGUUGAAAACCGCCCUCGCUGGUUCUAGGUCUCUCUCUCUCUCUCUCUCUCAGGAUUUCAAAAUCCGAGGCCGGUGGGGGAGGCGGGGAGAGAAGAUCUUCUGGCUAUUAUUUCUCUCCGACCUUUUGCUAAACAGGCUGCCGAGCUGAAAGGGCAGGAGGAGAGGACGGUCUGGUCUGCGACCCUGCCGCAAAGCCUGGGCGGAUGCUUACACAAGAAAGGAGAAUGAAGAGAAUGAAUGGAGAUGCUGUGGAUCUUACUUCCUCCCCACCUACUACAAGCAAGAUGUUCUCUGAGUGCUGAAAGGACAAAGAUAAAAGCUGAAGAAUGCACACUAUAACAUUCAAGUGGCACUAUUUGGAAUAUAUAAAUAAAUCAACACUUAUCUUUCACAAACGCAUAGCU